UUUUUUUUUUUUUGAGACAGGGUCUUACUCUGUCACCCAGGCUGGAGUGCAAUGGCAUGAUCUCGACUCACUGCAGCCUCAACCUCCUGGGUUCAAGCAACUCUUCUGCCUCAGCCUCCCAAGAAGCUGGGAUUACAGACGUGCACCACCAAGCCUGGCUAAUUUUUGUAUUUUUAAUAGAGGGUUUCACCGUGUUGGCCAGGCUGGUCUCGAACUCCUGACCUCGUGAUCCUCUGCUUCGGCCUCCCAAAUUGUGGGGAUUACAGGCGUGAGCCACCGCACCUGGCCUGGGACGGAAUUUUAAGUGAACUGCGGCCCUUAGCUCAUGAGCCCAGCUUCAGUGUCUGAUGAAACGACACCGCAGGGAUGGGGGAGAGGGGAAGAUUCGCAGGUCACGCCGAAACCUCUGGUUAGCCCCCGGCUUCCACAUCCUUCCCAAAAUCUUUAGCCCAAGUGCCGCACAGCCCCUUUUGCAUGUCUUCCCCACUCCUUGGUGGCAGAGGCCCCUGUUGGUAAAGCAACAAUAGAGAAGUGGAGAAGAUAAAGAGCUGUGAAAACUGCCCCAGAGAAGCUGCAAGAAGCUUUGCUGGAAUCAGGUUUUGCAUCUCCGAAUCGGAGCUCCAUUUGUUGGGUCGGGGACCAUGCUUAGUGGUUCAAGAACUGACAGAAGAGGUGUUUGCAAAAUGCUUGUUGGGAGGAUAAAGAAACAGCUAAAGGAAAUUUUAUCUGAGCCUGAGAGCCGCCUGCACCAGCACAAAGGUAGGAUUCAAAAGGUCCUGAUUCCAAUUAUACAAGAGAAAACACACUGACUGCAAGUGCAGUUGAAGAAGGUUCUCAGAAGGGCACGCUGGAACCGCUCCCCGGUGCCAGGAGAGGUGUUUGAACUACGUGCUGCUGGGGCGCCCAGACAGGGGCUUCCCCACGAUCCAGGAAAUCAGAGCUUUUCCAAUGUUGGCUUGAAAUCGUGGCUAACAAGACAGAAAAGCACUCUUCUCAACCCCAGGGGAAGACUGGGGAGGUGGGCGGGGCCCCAGGGCCCACUGAUUCCAUCCAAGAGGGGGCAUGGAAGGACAGCGGCGAGCCCACGUCUGGAGCUUCUCCCUCCUGUGAAAGGCAAACAGAAUCCUGAGAUGCCAAACUCACUGUUCCAAAGGGAAAGGGAAAGCUUGGAAAUGGCGUCACGCAAAAACCUGCCUCUCAGGAGAACCAGUCUGUUUCUGAACAGAGAGCUUGCAAGACGGCCGGCCGUGUAUCUCCCCGGGAGGCCUCCCGCACUCUGACAGUGUGGAUGAGCAGCUGAUCCUCGCGAGUGUGGGACAAAAGCAAGACUAGGGCUUGCUUUUAUUUUUGUUCAGGGACACAGAGCCAACACCACCAGCUGCUAAAGGAAUAAAACCACAUCUUGCUUGUUUAAAGCAGUAAAGGAACAAAAUUACAUAGGCCAGGAGGUGCUUUUGUGUCUCCAGCCGUGACUUCUGGUUAAACACUCGAGAAAAACACAGGCUUGGCUUUUUCUUCUUUUCUGUGUCUACUCUAUCUGACAUCAGAUGCAGGUUUGCUGAGUGCCAGGUGAGUGCCUAAAGGGCUGCUCCCCCACCUCCCCCUUUCACUUGCAACGUGCACUCAGCGCGUGCUAAUUAAAGCCUCCCAGGAGCCUGACCACUGGCCUCAUUGCCUACCCACCGUCUUCUCUCUCCCCCUUCCCCCUGCCCUCUCCUCUCCUCCUCUUUUAAAUACUCAGCACCUCAAAACGCUCUCUGGAAAAGGCCUGGCCACAGGUCCUGCUGUGACUGGUGCCGCUUUUUCCUGGGCAGAUUCUCAACCUUGGCAUCAUAACCCUCUAAGCUGACUGAGACCUGGCUCAGACACUUUCAGUUUUGUGCUCCAAACACUGAGUGUUUGGUAACUUUACCCAGAAGUUCUUAGAUUUUCAGCCACUCAAGCCAGGCUCUGAUGUCCACAAUAAGUCCAGAUCUAGAACAGUUUGCGGAAUGAAGGGAUCUGGCUGAGAGAUGGGAGUUGGAACAGUUGCGGCACCGUCAGCCUCACAUGAACAGAAACAAAUUACUCAGACAAACGAGAAGAGCAAGGCCCAACUGGAAAAGCAUGUGGGUGCUGACCCAAUGAGGCCAAUCAUGCGUGAUUGGGACCUUCUGAGUGACUUGGUG
RNAcentral lists this long non-coding RNA (2168 nucleotides) under Pan troglodytes (chimpanzee). RNAcentral's name for it is "long non-coding RNA NONPTRT009423". The record is from RNAcentral. Lineage: Eukaryota; Metazoa; Chordata; Mammalia; Primates; Hominidae.